UCGACGGAACCCUUCGGGGGGAAGUCGACGGAAUGAGCGGCGGACGGGUGAGUAACACGUAAAGAACCUGCCCUCAGGUCUGGGAUAACCACGAGAAAUCGGGGCUAAUACCGGAUGGGUCAUCGGACCGCAUGGUCCGAGGAUGAAAGGCGCUUCGGCGUCGCCUGGGGAUGGCUUUGCGGUGCAUUAGCUAGUUGGUGGGGUAAUGGCCCACCAAGGCGACGAUGCAUAGCCGACCUGAGAGGGUGAUCGGCCACACUGGGACUGAGACACGGCCCAGACUCCUACGGGAGGCAGCAGUAGGGAAUCUUCCACAAUGGACGAAAGUCUGAUGGAGCAACGCCGCGUGAACGAUGAAGGCCUUCGGGUCGUAAAGUUCUGUUGUAAGGGAAGAACAAGUGCCGCAGGCAAUGGCGGCACCUUGACGGUACCUUGCGAGAAAGCCACGGCUAACUACGUGCCAACAGCCGCGGUAAUACGUAUGUGGCAAGCGUUGUCCGGAAUUAUUGGGCGUAAAGCGCGCGCAUGCGGCCUCUUAAGUCUGAUGUGAAAGCCCCCGGCUCAACCGGGGAGGGCCAUUGGAAACUGGGAGGCUUGAGUAUAAGAUACAAGAGUGGAAUUCCACGUGUAGCGGUGAAAUGCGUACAGAUGUGGAGGAACACCAGUGGCGAAGGCGACUCUUUGGCCUAUAACUGACGCU
This 700-nucleotide ribosomal RNA is filed under the name Exiguobacterium sp. WMB2. RNAcentral describes it as "bacterial SSU rRNA". It matches the Rfam family "Bacterial small subunit ribosomal RNA", at positions 62 to 747 of the family's 1533-position model. The record is from RNAcentral. Lineage: Bacteria; Bacillati; Bacillota; Bacilli; Caryophanales.